CCUACGGGCGGCAGCAGUGGGGGAUAUUGCACAAUGGGGGGAACCCUGAUGCAGCGACGCCGCGUGGGGGAAUGAAGGUCUUCGGAUUGUAAACCCCUGUCAUGUGGGAGCAAAUUAAAAAGAUAGUACCACAAGAGGAAGAGACGGCUAACUCUGUGCCAGCAGCCGCGGUAAUACAGAGGUCUCAAGCGUUGUUCGGAAUCACUGGGCGUAAAGGGUGCGUAGGCUGUUUCGUAAGUCGUGUGUGAAAGGCGCGGGCUCAACCCGAGGACGGCACAUGAUACUGCGAGACUAGAGUGAUGGAGGGGGAACCGGAAUUCUCGGUGUAGCAGUGAAAUGCGUAGAUAUCGAGAGGAACACUCGUGGCGAAGGCGGGUUCCUGGACAUUAACUGACGCUGAGGCACGAAGGCCAGGGGAGCGAAAGGGAUUAGAUACCCCUGUAGUC
RNAcentral lists this ribosomal RNA (446 nucleotides) under uncultured bacterium. RNAcentral describes it as "partial 16S ribosomal RNA". It matches the Rfam family "Bacterial small subunit ribosomal RNA", at positions 338 to 795 of the family's 1533-position model. The record is from RNAcentral.